AGUGAACGCUGGCGGUAGGCCUAACACAUGCAAGUCGAACGGCAGCACAGUAAUAGCUUGCUCUUACGGGUGGCGAGUGGCGGACGGGUGAUGAAUACAUCGGAAGCUACUUUUUCGUGGGGGAUAACGUAGGGAAACUUACGCUAAUACCGCAUACGACCUACGGGUGAAAGCAGGGGAUCUUCUGACCUUGCGCGAGUGAAUGAGCCGAUGUCGGAUUAGCUAGUUGGCGGGGUAAAGGCCCACCAAGGCGACGAUCCGUAGCUGGUCUGAGAGGAUGAUCAGCCACACUGGAACUGAGACACGGUCCAGACUCCUACGGGAGGCAGCAGUGGGGAAUAUUGGACAAUGGGCGCAAGCCUGAUCCAGCCAUACCGCGUGGGUGAAGAAGGCCUUCGGGUUGUAAAGCCCUUUUGUUGGGAAAGAAAAGCAGCAGGUUAAUACCCCGCUGUUCUGACGGUACCCACAGAAUAAGCACCGGCUAACUUCGUG
RNAcentral lists this ribosomal RNA (492 nucleotides) under uncultured bacterium. RNAcentral describes it as "partial 16S ribosomal RNA". It matches the Rfam family "Bacterial small subunit ribosomal RNA", at positions 29 to 507 of the family's 1533-position model. The record is from RNAcentral.